UACAGAGGGUGCGAGCGUUGUCCGGAAUCACUGGGCGUAAAGGGCGCGUAGGCGGCUUGAUAAGCGUGCGGUGAAAGCCCGGGGCUCAACCCCGGGUCGGCCGUGCGAACUGUCGAGCUGGAGCACUGUAGAGGCAGGUGGAAUUCCGGGUGUAGCGGUGGAAUGCGUAGAGAUCCGGAAGAACACCGGUGGCGAAGGCGGCCUGCUGGGCAGUGGCUGACACUGAGGCGCGACAGCGUGGGGAGCAAACAGG
RNAcentral lists this ribosomal RNA (253 nucleotides) under uncultured bacterium. RNAcentral describes it as "partial 16S ribosomal RNA". It matches the Rfam family "Bacterial small subunit ribosomal RNA", at positions 524 to 776 of the family's 1533-position model. The record is from RNAcentral.